This 425-nucleotide ribosomal RNA is filed under the name uncultured bacterium. Its description in RNAcentral is "partial 16S ribosomal RNA". It matches the Rfam family "Bacterial small subunit ribosomal RNA", at positions 354 to 796 of the family's 1533-position model. The record is from RNAcentral.
GUGGGGAAUCUUAGACAAUGGGGGAAACCCUGAUCUAGCCAUGCCGCGUGAGCGAUGAAGGCCUUAGGGUUGUAAAGCUCUUUCAGAUGGGAAGAUAAUGACGGUACCAUCAGAAGAAGCCCCGGCUAACUCCGUGCCAGCAGCCGCGGUAAUACGGAGGGGGCUAGCGUUGUUCGGAAUUACUGGGCGUAAAGCGCGCGUAGGCGGACCAGAAAGUUGGAGGUGAAAUCCCAGGGCUCAACCUUGGAACUGCCUUCAAAACUCCUGGUCUGGAGUUCGAGAGAGGUGAGUGGAAUUCCGAGUGUAGAGGUGAAAUUCGUAGAUAUUCGGAGGAACACCAGUGGCGAAGGCGGCUCACUGGCUCGAUACUGACGCUGAGGUGCGAAAGCGUGGGGAGCAAACAGGAUUAGAUACCCGGGUAGUCC